RNAcentral lists this small RNA (619 nucleotides) under Arabidopsis thaliana (thale cress). RNAcentral describes it as "ATSL171610". Lineage: Eukaryota; Viridiplantae; Streptophyta; Magnoliopsida; Brassicales; Brassicaceae. The record is from RNAcentral.
UUUCAAAAUUUUAAUGGUAUGUAUGAACUAAGAAUUUGUGUUACCAUGUUAAAAUAUUUAAAUACCGAUGCAUUUUUUGUAUAUGUGUUGUGGGCAGUGUUUUCACGCCAGACCCGGACCGCCCGGUCCGACCGGUUGAACCGUGACCCAAACACUUUUCUGGUUUGGGUUUAGUGCUAAAACCCGACAAAUUCAAACCCGAAAAAACUCACAAAAACUCAUCAAUAACCCAUGACCCGUUGAACUGGCCGGGUGUGGGUUUUAAAAUAUUCUCUUUAUUUUGGAAUAUAAUAUAGGAUUUUAGACUUUAUUCAAUCAUUUUUAUAAAAAAUUCAGUUCCUAAACUCAUUUGAUGUUUUACAUUUUGAUGAAUACUUCACAAUGCCGCCUUAAAAAAUGAAUCGAAUGGUGAGUGAGAAACCCGAUAUUAGUUGUGUAAAUUCACGAUGUUUUAUUAGUUUAUUUCCGACAUUGGUGAUCUCCUACUAUAUUUGUUAUGGUAUUAGACGUUUAGUUGGAUUUAAUAAAUUUAAUCACUUUAUUAUUUUUAUUUGAUUAUAUAUAUAUAUAUAUAUUUUUUAUUUUAUUUUGGUGUAAAUGAAUUUAUAUUUUAUUAAAU